This 546-nucleotide ribosomal RNA is filed under the name fungal sp. RNAcentral's name for it is "eukaryotic LSU rRNA". The stretch from base 186 to 339 matches the Rfam family "5.8S ribosomal RNA". The record is from RNAcentral. Lineage: Eukaryota; Fungi.
GACCUGCGGAGGGAUCAUUACACAAAUAUGAAGGCGGGCUGGAACCUCUCGGGGUUACAGCCUUGCUGAAUUAUUCACCCUUGUCUUUUGCGUACUUCUUGUUUCCUUGGUGGGUUCGCCCACCACUAGGACAAACAUAAACCUUUUGUAAUUGCAAUCAGCGUCAGUAACAAAUUAAUAAUUACAACUUUCAACAACGGAUCUCUUGGUUCUGGCAUCGAUGAAGAACGCAGCGAAAUGCGAUAAGUAGUGUGAAUUGCAGAAUUCAGUGAAUCAUCGAAUCUUUGAACGCACAUUGCGCCCUUUGGUAUUCCAAAGGGCAUGCCUGUUCGAGCGUCAUUUGUACCCUCAAGCUUUGCUUGGUGUUGGGCGUCUUGUCUCUAGCUUUGCUGGAGACUCGCCUUAAAGUAAUUGGCAGCCGGCCUACUGGUUUCGGAGCGCAGCACAAGUCGCACUCUCUAUCAGCAAAGGUCUAGCAUCCAUUAAGCCUUUUUUUCAACUUUUGACCUCGGAUCAGGUAGGGAUACCCGCUGAACUUAAGCAUAU